Molecule: ribosomal RNA, 227 nt
Filed under: uncultured bacterium
Lineage: Bacteria
Description: partial 16S ribosomal RNA
Rfam family: Bacterial small subunit ribosomal RNA
Source: RNAcentral
CUGAACCAGCCAAGUAGCGUGAAGGAUGACUGCCCUAUGGGUUGUAAACUUCUUUUAUAAAGGAAUAAAGUCGGGUAUGUAUACCCGUUUGCAUGUACUUUAUGAAUAAGGAUCGGCUAACUCCGUGCCAGCAGCCGCGGUAAUACGGAGGAUGCGAGCGUUAUCCGGAUUUAUUGGGUUUAAAGGGUGCGUAGGUGGUUUUUUAAGUCAGUUGUGAAAGUUUGCGG